This 304-nucleotide ribosomal RNA is filed under the name uncultured bacterium. RNAcentral's name for it is "partial 16S ribosomal RNA". It matches the Rfam family "Bacterial small subunit ribosomal RNA", at positions 506 to 809 of the family's 1533-position model. The record is from RNAcentral.
CAGCAGUCGCCACGGGAAUACGUAGGUGGCAAGCGUUGUCCGGAAUUAUUGGGCGUAAAGGGCUCGCAGGCGGUUUCUUAAGUCCGAUGUGAAAGCCCCCGGCUCAACCGGGGAGGGUCAUUGGAAACUGGGAAACUUGAGUGCAGAAGAGGAGAGUGGAAUUCCACGUGUAGCGGUGAAAUGCGUAGAUAUAUGGAGGAACACCGGUGGCGAAAGCGGCUCUCUGGUCUGUAACUGACGCUGAGGCUCGAAAGUGUGGGGAGCAAACAGGAUUAGAUACCCCGGUAGUCCCUGUCUCUUAUAU